GACGAACGCUGGCGGCGUGCUUAACACAUGCAAGUCGAGCGGUAAGGCCCUUUCGGGGUUACACGAGCGGCGAACGGGUGAGUAACACGUGGGUGACCUGCCCUCAGCUCUGGGAUAAGCCUGGGAAACCGGGUCUAAUACCGGAUAUGACUCCAUGACGCAUGUUGUGGGGUGGAAAGCCUUGUGCGGCUGAGGAUGGGCCCGCGGCCUAUCAGCUUGUUGGUGGGGUGANGGCCUACCAAGGCGACGACGGGUAGCCGGCCUGAGAGGGCGACCGGCCACACUGGGACUGAGACACGGCCCGGACUCCUACGGGAGGCAGCAGUGGGGAAUCUUGCGCAAUGGGCGAAAGCCUGACGCAGCGACGCCGCGUGAGGGAUGACGGCCUGGUGUAA
This 395-nucleotide ribosomal RNA is filed under the name uncultured bacterium. Its description in RNAcentral is "bacterial SSU rRNA". It matches the Rfam family "Bacterial small subunit ribosomal RNA", at positions 28 to 428 of the family's 1533-position model. The record is from RNAcentral.